CGGAGGGGUCAUGCCCUCGGCGGACUGCUCAGUAACACGUGGACAACCUGCCCAAAAGUCUGGGAUAACCCCGGGAAACUGGGGAUAAUACCGGAUAGGUCAAGGAUGCUGGAAUGCUUUUUGGCUGAAACUUCAGGGGCUUUUGGAUGGGUCUGCGGCUGAUUAGGUUGUUGCCGGUGUAACGUACCGUCAAGCCAGUUAUCAGUACGGGUUGUGGGAGCAAGAGCCCGGAGAUGGAUUCUGAGACACGAAUCCAGGCCCUACGGGGCGCAGCAGGCGCGAAAACUUUACAAUGCAGGCAACUGCGAUAGGGGAACAUCGAGUGAUACUCAUAUUGGGUGUCUGUCCCAUCGUCUAAAAAACGAUGGUUAGCAAGGGCCGGGCAAGACCGGUGCCAGCCGCCGCGGUAAUACCGGCGGCUCGAGUGGUGGCCGAUAUUAUUGAGUCUAAAGGGUCCGUAGCCGGCUUGGCAAGUCUCUUGGGAAAUCUGGCGGCUUAACCGUCAGUCGUCCGGGAGAUACUACUUUGCUUGGGUCUGGGAGAGGCGUGAGGUACUCAGGGGGUAGGAGUGAAAUCCUGUAAUCCUUUGGGGACCACCGGUGGCGAAGGCGUCACGCCAGAACAGGUCCGACGGUGAGGGACGAAAGCUAGGGGCACGAACCGGAUUAGAUACCCGGGUAGUCCUAGCCGUAAACGAUGCUCGCUAGGUGUCACGGCAGUCGUGAAUUGCCGUGGUGCCGUAGGGAAGCCGUGAAGCGAGCCACUUGGGAAGUACGACCGCAAGGUUGAAACUUAAAGGAAUUGGCGGGGGAGCACCACAACGGGUGGAGCCUGCGGUUUAAUUGGAGUCAACGCCGGA
This 859-nucleotide ribosomal RNA is filed under the name uncultured archaeon. Its description in RNAcentral is "bacterial SSU rRNA". It matches the Rfam family "Archaeal small subunit ribosomal RNA", at positions 60 to 922 of the family's 1478-position model. The record is from RNAcentral.